This is a long non-coding RNA of Uranotaenia lowii, 1366 nucleotides long. RefSeq lists it as uncharacterized. The transcript is spliced from 4 exons. The record is from RefSeq and is a predicted model, not a curated record. NCBI's taxonomy places the organism in Eukaryota, Metazoa, Arthropoda, Insecta, Diptera, Culicidae.
UUGCUCAAUCGGGCCGAUUGCAAAACAGAGAUGCCAGCACUCGAAUUCUAGCGGUUAGAAUUCGAUCAGUUUUCGGCUCGAUUUCCAUCCGCCUGCUCGAUUGCUCGAAAACAGACGAUACUUUUUGCAGUGCUGCGAUGAACAAAACGAAACACGAGCAGUUUUCAAUCGCAGCAAUCCGGUGGCGUGUUUUGUUUUGGCGCGUGUUUGGUGUGAAAUUUGUCGCAGUUAUUUUCGCUUGUAUAUUUCCGCUGUUUCUGAAUUCAGAAAUGCUUUGAGCGCUUAGAAGAAGCCAUUGUCCGGCGAUAAUUUGAUGACAAACAAGAAAACAUCGACCCAUGAAAACGAAGCUUCCAAGGAAAUGUCCACACGGUACGGGCUCUGGUGGAAUGUCAUCCCGGACAUCGUAUCCGGAUCCGCUUUAAGGUGGUGGCACACAAUGCAAGUGGCCCCGUACGCUUCCAGAAAACCGUAUAAAAUUGACCAGAAAACUUGUAAAUGGCCACACACAGCACCGCAACAAUCGCACCGUGGCCUAUAACAACUUAGCGGUAAAACUCGACGAAGUACGGCAGAUGCAAGGACAAACUCCUUUUUCCGACCGAAAAAACACCGGAGCAGUACCAGCGCGUCUUGCCUUGCGUGGACUAUAGGCUUACCAUUUCUGUAAAUCAAGACGAAGCGUAUAUUUUGUCCAAGCCAGUCGGAAUACUCGGGUCUAGUGUGCCGAUUGCUCUGCUGCCAACUUAACAGCUGCCCUCAUAUUCUCUAGUCAUAGUGAACACACUUCCGACAUUGGAGAUAUAUCCUAUUGCAGCAAUUCUGCCUAUCAGCAACCAGAAGAACCCUCCGUGGAUAGUUUGAUCUGUUGAGACGAUCAAGUUUCUAAAGUGAGCCGAACUUUAGUUGUUGCAGAUGUUUAUCAGUGAUUGCUUAGAAGGUACUUUGAUCUGUGGUACUACUGCAAUUGACCUAAAUAAUUUCGAGAUUCUGCAUUGGUGGAAUGAAUUUUUGAAACGAUGUGCUAGAGAGCAAUGUAUGUACCCAAGUAGAAAUCCUGCGCUGGCCACAUGUGUUGGAAAAUUUAUUCGAUAACUUUUUUGCUAAACCCAUCUGUUUUGUGAACGAAUAUUUAACAUGAAGGUAACUUUCAAGCAUGUUCUUAAUCCACAUGCGAAAGACCGAACAAAACUUCACAUAGAUUUUCAUUGAAAAAGGUAAACAUAGACGUUCAUUCAAAUUUUUCAACAGAAUCCUGCAUUGAGCUUUAAUUGUUCUUGUUUUUAUUUUAAAUUCCAAGGGUAGCGGCUUUUAAGCUAGGUCGAUAUUUAACUUUUAAACAGUUUUGGCUGAAAGAAGAAAUCAA